RNAcentral lists this ribosomal RNA (658 nucleotides) under Thalassiosira antarctica. RNAcentral describes it as "partial Bacterial large subunit ribosomal RNA". It matches the Rfam family "Bacterial large subunit ribosomal RNA", at positions 1980 to 2635 of the family's 2925-position model. Lineage: Eukaryota; Bacillariophyta; Thalassiosirophyceae; Thalassiosirales; Thalassiosiraceae. The record is from RNAcentral.
GUUCCGACCUGCACGAAUGGCGUAACGACUUCCCCACUGUCUCCAGGAUAUGCUCAGCGAAAUUGAAUUCUCCGUGAAGAUGCGGAGUACCCGCGGUUAGACGGAAAGACCCCGUGCACCUUUACUGCAGCUUCAGAGUGGCAUUAGGAAAGAAUUGUGUAGAAUAGGUGGGAGGCUUUGAAACUUGGGCGCCAGUCCGAGUGGAGCCAUAAUGUGAAAUACCACCCUAUUGUUUUCUGGUGUCUAACUUAGAUCCGUUAUCCGGAUCAGGGACCCUCUGUGGCGGGUAGUUUGACUGGGGCGGUCGCCUCCUAAAGAGUAACGGAGGCGCGCGAUGGUUGGCUCAGGACGGUUGGAAACCGUCUGUUAGAGUGCAAUGGCAUAAGCCUGCCUGACUGCGAGACUGACAAGUCGAGCAGAGUCGAAAGACGGCCAUAGUGAUCCGGUGGUCCCAAGUGGGAGGGCCAUCGCUCAACGGAUAAAAGGUACGCCGGGGAUAACAGGCUGAUACUGCCCAAGAGUCCAUAUCGACGGCAGUGUUUGGCACCUCGAUGUCGGCUCAUCUCAUCCUGGGGCUGGAGCAGGUCCCAAGGGUACGGCUGUUCGCCGUUUAAAGAGGUACGUGAGCUGGGUUUAGAACGUCGUGAGACAGUUCGGU